CAGCUACGGUUACUCGUGCGUUCUAAAAUACGUUUGUCAUUUCAUUAGGAGUGUUGGCGCUUCACAAAGGUGCGGGAUAUUUUGUGAAAUUGGCAAAAUUAUAUCAAGAUCACAAGGUGUUGAUGUUGAUUUCUUUCAAGCAGUUCUCAAUCAGUGCCAAAGUGAUAUUGAUGAUUGUGCAUAUUUGCCAAACCAAACUUUAAUAUAGGGAAAUCGAUCGCUUAAUCAGGGUCUGUUUAGUACACAGAAAAAGAUUAAAUCAACCUUGAAAGCACAAAAGCUUUUUAUAUUUGUUCGCGCGUGAAAUUGUGUCAAGUACCAUUCUCUGUAUUUACCCUCCAUAAUUUACUUCAUUCUCUUCAGGGGAUAACUCUUAUCUCAAAAUUACAGUAAUGUUCAAACAUACCGAAUAAUGACAAUCUUUAAUCUCAACCAAGCGAGGGACUGCA
Long non-coding RNA from Photinus pyralis (common eastern firefly), 449 nucleotides. RefSeq lists it as uncharacterized. The record is from RefSeq and is a predicted model, not a curated record. Lineage: Eukaryota; Metazoa; Arthropoda; Insecta; Coleoptera; Lampyridae. The transcript is spliced from 3 exons.